This is a long non-coding RNA of Chinchilla lanigera (long-tailed chinchilla), 1938 nucleotides long. NCBI's taxonomy places the organism in Eukaryota, Metazoa, Chordata, Mammalia, Rodentia, Chinchillidae. The record is from Ensembl.
AUGUCAGGCAAUAAAAAGAUCCUUACAUCUGCUGGAGUAGGAGUCCCUGGACACUUCCUCACUCUUUACUACUUCUCCUCAGUGGUAAUUGGGAAUGGAGGCAUUUAUUUUCUUUCCAGAAAAAGAGAAAAACAUUCCAUGAGGAUCACUGUGGCCAAAAAUAUCAUCCUGUGCUGGAGACAGGGAAGAAAAGGAUUGGCUGGCUUGUUCCACACAUCUUCCAUGUUCCAAACAUCAGUAAAGAGACUCCUCUUAAAUUGUGCAAAGAGACACAGCUCCCUGAGAAGAUGUUGGAUGGCCCUAGGGCAGCAAUCCUCAAAGUGUGAUGUAAACCAUGGUUGUAGGAAACACACAGAUGAGGAAACCUAGGCUUUGGAAGUUCUCCUGUUGUCAUGGCAAGGAAGCUAACUACAGCAAGACUCCUGUGGCCUUUUAUAGAAGGGCCCUGAAAGUUCUGGCUUCACUUUCAUUUCCUGCACCCCCCUACAUUUACAUAGGCAAACAGGGUUCUAUUGCACUUCCUCCAAGCCACUUCCGGGAGCUGUCAGCCUCAUCAGUGGUGUUCCUCUUGUCUGCCACAGUGGCUGAGCUGAGUCAGGCCCCCAUCCCACACUGAUUCAUGCCCUUGGCUCUUGUUUUAUCACACUGCCCAUGGAGGAAGGUAAUGAGUUCCCUGAAGUUCCAAGGAGGUGACUAUCUUGCCUGAAAUGGGCUAGAGAAGUGUGGACAGAGAUUGGGGUUGCAAAAACACCCCACUUCUUAGAGGAGCCUUACAGAGCUCCCAAUGUUUUCUGGAUUUGACCCUGUCAUAGUGUUGGUAGAACUGCAUCUGACGAAAGAAAUCAAUCAUUCCAGUGCCCUGUGAUCCAUUUGCAUUACCUGGUGAGUACAAACCAUGUGGAGAUGCUGGUUCCGCCACUGGCUGGUACUGCACUGUAAGGGCUGAGACAAGGUCUACAUUUUGACAGUGUCGCCUCACUGGAUCCAGUAGGCUGCCCUGAACUCCAGAGCGCUGGGAAAUGUCUGCUAUCUAGUGCAAGGCCCUCUUAUAGAGUCAGGGAGACUGGAAGGCCCCAUCUCUGAGUAUGACAUUUUUCAAUGAUUCCUAAUUUGUUGAGACACAGUCUCUGUGAGUUAAAAGGAAUACAUAUGGGUAGCCCUACAACUGAGGGGAAAGAUGCAGAAGAGAGAACUCAAGUGUUCCCCAGUGACAUUCAGGCUACACUGAGAAGCGCUUGACUUUGGGCUGUUAAUUAACCCCUGCUCUCCUUUUCUGGGGAGAAGCGUGUUCUAGUGACAGAUGCCUCUGUGUGCAGCCCUGGAGGCAGUGAGAACAAUGUCACCUCCCACUGCACGGCUUCUCUUCAUACAGCAUGACUGGAUGGCGUUCAGAAAACAGAAGUGGGCCUGGGCUGUACACGAAUAAGGAACUCAUUAGAGAGGCCGAGUCCUGUCCUAGGGGAGGAAAAUGAUGCACUUAUGUGGCAAGCACAGGGUUCUCUUCCAACAUCUGCUUUACUUUUUCCAAAUCCUAUGCAAAGAAGUAUUCUACAGAUGCUCUGACGGCAGCAGCUUGGCAGCAUUUAUUCCCAAUAUUCAGUGACCACUUCUGCAUAUGGCCCUACUGAUAUAAGCUUCCUAGAAUAACCAAAUUCAUGAGGAGAGAAAGCAGAAUGGUGGGUGCCAUGGGCUGGGAAAAGGAGAAAAGGGAGCUUUUGUUUAAUGGGGACAGAGUUUCCACCUGGGAAGAGGGAAAAGUUCUAGAGCUGCGCAGUGGUGAUGCUGUACCACAAUGUGAAUGUACUUACUGACACUGAGGAAUACUCAAAAUCCUUAGUUUUAUGUGGUGUACAUUUGCCACAAUAAAAAUUUUGAUUACAAAGAAUUUUGAUUCUUUACAUCAUUCAUGGAUUAAUUUUCCCCAUUUAGCAUCUUCUU